This 72-nucleotide transfer RNA is filed under the name Camelus bactrianus (Bactrian camel). It matches the Rfam family "tRNA". From Rfam's summary of the family: Transfer RNA (tRNA) molecules are approximately 80 nucleotides in length. Lineage: Eukaryota; Metazoa; Chordata; Mammalia; Artiodactyla; Camelidae. The record is from Rfam by way of RNAcentral. RNAcentral also lists the same sequence under 2 other names.
GAGGGUAUAGCUCAGUGGUAGAGUGCAUGCUUAGCAUGCAUGAGGUCCUGGAUUCAAUUCCUAGUACCUCCA